Diaporthe ampelina is the source of this 100-nucleotide non-coding RNA. The record is from Rfam. Lineage: Eukaryota; Fungi; Ascomycota; Sordariomycetes; Diaporthales; Diaporthaceae.
GGACCAUUGGCCCAAUGGCAAGGCGUCUGACUACGACAAGCGAUCUUCUCACGAGGAAUUCGGAAUCAGGAGAUUGCAGGUUCGAUCCCUGCAUGGUUCA